GGAUUAGAUACCCUGGUAGUCCACACCGUAAACGAUGAAUGCCAGUCGUCGGGCAGUAUACUGUUCGGUGACACACCUAACGGAUUAAGCAUUCCGCCUGGGGAGUACGGUCGCAAGAUUAAAACUCAAAGGAAUUGACGGGGACCCGCACAAGCGGUGGAUGAUGUGGAUUAAUUCGAUGCAACGCGAAAAACCUUACCUACCCUUGACAUGUACGGAAGGCCGGAGAGAUUUGGCUGUGCUCGAAAGAGAACCGUAACACAGGUGCUGCAUGGCUGUCGUCAGCUCGUGUCGUGAGAUGU
RNAcentral lists this ribosomal RNA (302 nucleotides) under Stephanopyxis turris. Its description in RNAcentral is "partial Bacterial small subunit ribosomal RNA". It matches the Rfam family "Bacterial small subunit ribosomal RNA", at positions 775 to 1075 of the family's 1533-position model. The record is from RNAcentral. Lineage: Eukaryota; Bacillariophyta; Melosirophyceae; Stephanopyxales; Stephanopyxidaceae.